UACAGAGGGUGCAAGCGUUAAUCGGAUUUACUGGGCGUAAAGCGUGCGUAGGCGGCCAGGCAAGUUGGAUGUGAAAUCCCCGAGCUUAACUUGGGAACUGCAUCCAAAACUAUCUGGCUAGAGUGUGGUAGAGGGCGGUGGAAUUCCCGGUGUAGCGGUGAAAUGCGUAGAUAUCGGGAGGAACAUCAAUGGCGAAGGCAGCUGCCUGGGCCAACACUGACGCUGAGGUACGAAAGCGUGGGGAGCAAACAGG
RNAcentral lists this ribosomal RNA (253 nucleotides) under uncultured bacterium. Its description in RNAcentral is "partial 16S ribosomal RNA". It matches the Rfam family "Bacterial small subunit ribosomal RNA", at positions 524 to 776 of the family's 1533-position model. The record is from RNAcentral.